Long non-coding RNA from Juglans regia (Persian walnut), 753 nucleotides. RefSeq lists it as uncharacterized. The record is from RefSeq and is a predicted model, not a curated record. NCBI's taxonomy places the organism in Eukaryota, Viridiplantae, Streptophyta, Magnoliopsida, Fagales, Juglandaceae. The transcript is spliced from 3 exons.
UACAGGUGCUAAACGCAUCUGAGGCUCUCUCUGCCUAUCACACUUCGUUCGUCCCCUCUCUCUUUUCUUUUGCUCCGCCGACGGAUCUUUCACGCCGACACCGCCUUCCAUGUCAGACGCCACCCAGCCGCCCCUCUACAUGACGUCCAACUCCUCCGCUACUCACGAAACCCCAAUAAGCCUCUAAAUCCCUCGUCUAUCUGUGUAUUUGGUUUCGACUCUCCCUCUCAAUAACUAUCUCUUUGUACCAAGCCAGUCAAUGUGAGUAGUGGAGGCCGUUGCAACCUGUCUAGCCACAUUGCCUCGCUCCGUCGAAUCCUCGCUGCAGUGCCACAUUGCCCACAAAAAUCUAGUCGACCACCACUCCGAGUUGGGAUAAGAUCAUGGUCAGGCUCUGUAACGAUUAUGCUUCUAAAGUAACUCUUCUCGAGAAUUAAAAGAAAAAAUAUUGGAGAUCGAGCAGCUAAAAUCAAGGCUGAGAAAGUUGGAGGAGUUAAUAUCGUUGAAGGUGCCAUUAAGACAAUAACAAGAAGCUGAUGAGGAGCUGCAGAUGAGAUUAGAAGUUCGGGGUCAAGAAAUGCUUGAACAUAUGCAAAUGAUUAUGUCACAAAAAUUUAAUCUCCACCAUCGUAGAAACAUUUUUUAAUAUUUUGUAUCAAAACCUUUGUAGAGUUUGAUGACAAUUUCAACAAUUGUGGAAUAUUUAAUAUCUAUUAUAUUUGAAUUUCACAUUUAAUGGCAAGGAUUGGAACA